CCCGCUGAACUUAAGCAUAUUAGUAAGCGGAAGGAAAAGAAACUAACAAGGAUUCCCCUAGUAGCUGCGAGCGAACAGGGAUGAGCCCAGCACUGAAUCCCAAAGGCCUCGCCUUUAGGGAAAUGUAGUGUUUAGGAGUGCCCGUUUAACCCGGGGUCCGUGCACCGCGUUCAAGUCCAUCUUGAACGGGGCCACGGUCCGCAGAGGGUGCCAGGCCCGUAGAUGACCGGUGCCGGCCCCGGGUGGGUCCCUCCUUAGAGUCGGGCUGCUUGAGAGUGCAGCCCUAAGCGGGUGGUAAACUCCAUCUAAGGCUAAAUACAACCACGAGACCGAUAGAGAACAAGUACCGUGAGGGAAAGUUGAAAAGAACUCUGAAUGAGAGAG
RNAcentral lists this ribosomal RNA (384 nucleotides) under Dinocoris gibbus. Its description in RNAcentral is "partial large subunit ribosomal RNA". It matches the Rfam family "Eukaryotic large subunit ribosomal RNA", at positions 24 to 387 of the family's 3401-position model. Lineage: Eukaryota; Metazoa; Arthropoda; Insecta; Hemiptera; Pentatomidae. The record is from RNAcentral.